CUAAUCUUGAGGGAUGUUUAAUUUUUAAGUCUCAGUCAUGCUAAGAGCAAAGGAAGUUAUGUUUUGUCUGGAAGCUCCGCCCACUGGGAGCAGCUCUUUGAAAACGUCACCGAGGGCGCCAUUUUUUCAAUUCGGUCGUUUAAUUCAUCAGUCUGGACAGCUCUUCACACAGUAAAGGUAUUUGGUGUUCCUCCAGUUGAGAUCUCCACUUCGUACCUUAGGCCCGUAAAUGGAUGAUGACGUUGAUGUUCGGCGGGAAUGCAUACUCAAGGGGCUCUGUGUGUACCUCAGUGAAGACCCGGAAAAAUGAGCGAGAGAAUACACUGAGCAGAAGACAAAGACCUGAACCAAGGAGCCAUUGGGGAGACCAUGGUGGGAUUACGUGAGAUGCCACUGAUGGACCAGAGGACAUUGGGAUUUUCCUAGAAGGCCAGGUGGUUCUGCAUGAUCUGGACAACGUUGCCUUAGCUGCUGCCAUGUUGUAUGGACUAAUGUAUGCCUUGAACCUCAACUACCCUCCUGAACUUAAGUACUCUUUGAAAGUGCCCCAGAAAGUUGUGAUGGUGCUGGACGACAACACACUGUUAAAGAAAGCCCAGGGACUCAAAAACAAACUAAGUGAGCUGGAUACAACAGUACCCUUUCUACUUGGAACAUGGACCAUUGCUGCUUUUUUUUUAUUGGAUUGGACUUUUGACACUUACGCAACCUACUUGUGCUGACUUUAUGUAUUUGUUUACUGCAAGUGUAGUGUAUUUGUUUCAGCAGAUUAUUUCUCUCAGGGCCAUGUAUGGCAAAAUGUAUCUCUUUCAUUUUAUGUCAGCUUUGUCAGAUGUGGGAGAGAUCCCAACAGCUUCCCCUAUUUUAAAAUGUCGAGGUGAUUUUGUUUUUUUGCACAUUCGUAACUGAAAUAUAGAAGUGGUGGGAAAGCAAUUACUCCUUAAUUCUAUUACUCUUUAAUUCCAGAACCCUUGCAGUUAAAGGAGCACAAUAACUUUCCAAGCACUGGAUUUACAUUUACCAGAGUGUAAUGAUUUCAUUACAUUUGUCUUUUUUGUUGUUAAGAGGGUGUAAAUGUAGUGGAUGUAUUUUGCACUUUUUUGCAUAAUUUCUGCAUUAAUCUGGUUGUAGUAUAAUUCCCUAUUGAUGCUGGUUUGAUGUCAUUCAGAAGGUUUUUAAUGACCUACAGUGUUGCCUCAGGUUGUAGCAGAAUGUUUACAAUGCACUCUUGAUAACUUGGCUACCAAGUGGAAAAAGGUGAUUUGUUUUAAUGUGAGAAUGGUUUGUAUAUGUAUGCCUUUAUUUGUGUAUAAAUUGCAUUGAACCGA
This is a long non-coding RNA of Micropterus dolomieu (smallmouth bass), 1328 nucleotides long. RefSeq lists it as uncharacterized. The transcript has 4 exons. NCBI's taxonomy places the organism in Eukaryota, Metazoa, Chordata, Actinopteri, Centrarchiformes, Centrarchidae. The record is from RefSeq and is a predicted model, not a curated record.